UUUGUAACAACUUAAAUUUAAAAUGCAACAUUUUGGCAUUUGCUCAGUAGUGAAUCACUUUAAAGCAGAUUUUUGUGGGAAAAAAACUUGUAUAUGUAAAACCUUCUAUGUUCACAGUGGCAUUAGCCUAGGCACAUUUUUGUUGGUCUCUCCAAGUUCCAUAGAUAAACUAGAAUUUGAUUUUAAAUGCUAAUUUAUGUCUUAGUUUUUACUGUUUGGAAGAAGUUUAACUAAGUGUUACUGAUGACAAGGAUUCAACCUCAAGUAAAGGGCAACCAUCUUUUAAAAGCAAUUUAGCUUGUUAUAUUGUAGGUGCAUAGAUCUGGUGACUGUAGAGAUGGGUAGGAGUUAUACUCAGAACUCACUGAUGGACGUCAAGGUACUGUUAGGUAGGAUUAGGAAGCCUUUGCAAUGGAGGAGUCAUGAGUACAUUAAUCUCUUCAGCCUCACCAACACAAACAUGUACUCUUAGCACUGUUGCAUGGUUGGCUGGCUGGUCCUUACCAAGCAUACUUGGAAGGCCCACAUCUGUAGCUAGAAAGCGUGCUGGUCUGCUGCCUAGAGACAGAUCUGAGAACUGUUUUCAUCUCUGUCAAAUGUUAUCUCCUUUUCUAGUAAGUUUUUGUGAGAUUUCAAAUUAUUAAAAUUACUUCUUAAGGAGUAGCUACUACCUCAUCCUCCCCAACUGACUCUUUCAGUCCCCAUCAAAACCUGCUCUAACUGCUAUUCCAGUUAACACUCUAUGGCUUGCUUGUUUAAUAACAUCAUGCACUUGUGCUCAACCCAAGUAUCAGAAACGCGACUCGCGGCUUUGAGAGGUGAUUGUGAUAGGUCUGCUUCUCAUCUGCAGAUACAAUGCAGCAACUCCAAAGUAUUAAGAUCACACUAAGCUGAAGAUGCACCUUUGCCCUGGUUAGCAACGCAAAACCGUAUCGUCAUACAUGCCAAGGCCUUAGCGUGUAGAUGUCUGUACACCGGCACAGCGAAUGAGCUCACUGCUAAUGGCUGAGUUGCUUAUUUUCAUGAACAAAGAUUAGCAAGAAACUGUUAAACCAUCUUUUUAAAAACUGUUCUAGUUUGUCAUAUUUUAGGCAUGAAGAACUAGCUUGGCUUACUGAAGAAAUAAAAGAUUUAAAGAGAACC
Molecule: long non-coding RNA, 1143 nt
Filed under: Rattus norvegicus (Norway rat)
Lineage: Eukaryota; Metazoa; Chordata; Mammalia; Rodentia; Muridae
Description: long non-coding RNA NONRATT011983
Source: RNAcentral